RNAcentral lists this ribosomal RNA (460 nucleotides) under uncultured bacterium. Its description in RNAcentral is "partial 16S ribosomal RNA". It matches the Rfam family "Bacterial small subunit ribosomal RNA", at positions 338 to 795 of the family's 1533-position model. The record is from RNAcentral.
CCUACGGGAGGCAGCAGUGAGGAAUAUUGGUCAAUGGCCGGAAGGCUGAACCAGCCAUGCCGCGUGAAGGUCAGUGCCCUAUGGGCGUUAAACUUCUUUUGUGCGGGAGCAAUAAUGGUCACGUGUGGCCAGACGAGAGUACCGUACGAAUAAGCAUCGGCUAACUCCGUGUCAGCAGCCGCGGUAAUACGGGGGAUGCAAGCGUUAUCCGGAUUUAUUGGGUUUAAAGGGUGCGUAGGCUGUGAGGUAAGUCAGCGGUGAAACUCCCCCGCUCAACGGGGUGAAGUGCCAUUGAUACUGCCUUGCUUGAAUGCGGAUGCAGGGGGAGGAAUGUGUGGUGUAGCGGUGAAAUGCAUAGAUAUCACACAGAACACCGAUUGCGAAGGCAUCUCACGAAUCCGCGAUUGACGCUGAUGCACGAAAGCGUGGGUAUCAAACAGGAUUAGAUACCCCUGUAGUC